Molecule: long non-coding RNA, 1369 nt
Filed under: Astyanax mexicanus (Mexican tetra)
Lineage: Eukaryota; Metazoa; Chordata; Actinopteri; Characiformes; Acestrorhamphidae
Description: lncRNA (ENSAMXG00005022712.1)
Source: RNAcentral
UAGUUUUGAUGCCUUCAGGGAGAAUCUACAAUGUAAAUAGUCAUGAAAAUAAAGAAAACACAUUGAAAAAGAGAACGUGUGUUCAAAAUGUUGCCCUGUACUGUAGAGAAUAGCUAGAAUUUAGUACAACACUGGGUAAUGUUAGUACUUUAAAGCAGUUAUUUAACCCUGGUCACUGCCCUAAAAUUGUGUUUUUCACCUGAUCCAACUGAUCAGCUAAUUAACAAUCCUUUAUUGAGUUUACCUGUUAAAAUGUUUUAGCCCCAAAAGGAUCAUAAAUCAAUCAUUAUGUAAAUCCCGCAGUGUAUUAGACAUUUGUAUUUUACAGUAACACCACAGUAAGACCACAAAUCAACCGGUUAUAAUUUUAAGUUGUAAGAUGUGUUUCUGUAUGGUGUUUUUAAAUUCAUGCUCGAUUUGCCCCCUUUUAAUUUUGAGUAUCAGCCCCUCCAAAGGUCUCUGCAUGGCCCUUUAGAAGAUAAUACAAAUAUUAUUUUCCCUACAUAAAAACUCAAUACAAUACAAAGUGUAUUAAACUGUUAUUAUAGAGAGAUGUUAUUAUAGAGAGAUGAUAGAAUUUGACUACAGUGAGGACGAAGUGCCCUUUAUUAUUGCGCAUAGAGUUCUAGAGAACAUUAGAGAGAAGUACAUGGGGUGUCUUGAACAAUUGCGUGCAUCACCCAUUAGAUUGCCGCCAAAAAGGCAGAGUGUACCAUGCGAUGUUCAAGCCCCACAGGCUGUAGUGGAACAGGAGGCUGUUGAGCCUCCAAAACCAUCAAAAGCGGACAUUCAGGCUGCUCGUGAGAAGGAGGUCAACUGGCCCACAUUAUUAUUCGAGGAGUUCUGUAAAAUCGAUUGUGACAGGAUGCUCAACCUUCUCUGCGGCGAAAAGGACGAUGGGUCUUUUCGUGUCACUCAUUCUGUCAGAGAGAGUAUUAGAAAGAGGCACAAGGAGCAUCUUGAACAAUUGUGCAUCUUGGCCAACAUUUCAACCAGCACUCUCGAGAAGAAGUGUGUUCAACAACCUGGACCAUCCCUUAAAUGGCUUCCAUUAAAGAAGAGUGCGCCAUGCAAAGUUCAAGCCCCAAAGGUUGUGGUGAAACAGGAGGCUGUUAAGUUUACUGUUCUCCACACCCCCGUCUGUUCAAGACCCUUCCCUACCCAGCCAGCGGAGGAGGAUGAGAAACAAUCGGCCUACUACACCUCACCAGGUAGCAAGAUACCUCGCCUAGAUAAGCAGAGGGAGCGGAGACCAGAGGCUACCCAGCCAGAGGAGGAGAAAGUUCAAGCCCCAAAGGUUGUGGUGAAACAAGAGGCUGUUAAGUUUACUGUUCUCCACACCCCCGUCUGUUCAAGACCCUUCCCUACC